This is a long non-coding RNA of Rhineura floridana, 1906 nucleotides long. RefSeq lists it as uncharacterized. The transcript is spliced from 4 exons. Lineage: Eukaryota; Metazoa; Chordata; Lepidosauria; Squamata; Rhineuridae. The record is from RefSeq and is a predicted model, not a curated record.
GAGAACCGUUUUUUUACGGCCGUAAUUCUAGGCACACUUAACUUGGGAGUAAAUGCUAUUGAAUCCAAGAUUGGGAUGAGGGUUUGUUUAUCCUUAAAUUGGACUUGGACCGGAGACACCUUCAAACAGAGGACUGUCCACCCCAAAGGAGGCCACCUGGACACCCUGUCAACACCAUUGCUUUUGAAACUCCCCAAAGUUUCAAAAAACAGUUUGCCAUGUAGUGACAGGCAGUAAAUCCUGUUGCGGAAGUGUAUCUGAAAAGUGGCUGCCUUAUUUUGAAAGGCCUGGACCACAGAGGCAAAGAGCGUUCCAGCAGGCUCAGGAUGAGAAUGUGGUGAUGGUUAAGGGGUUGCCUGGCAGGUGGACGCCUUGUGAUGCAGCACAGAAGAACGCAGUGGUGUCCCUGGCCUUCCCUUCUGAAGUGAGUUAAGGAAGCUGUUGGGGAUUUUAGAACUGCUCUGCAGAGACAGGCCAAAAGGAUGCAGGAGCCUGCCAAGAAAUGGGUUCUUGUUUCCAUGGACGAUAAGAGAGCUCCCAUAAAUCACAUUGCAAAGAGCAGCCUGACUGAGCAGCAAAGAGGACUUUCCCCUCCCCUUUCUGUCACUGUGCAUCCUGAGACUGCAUUUUAUUCCAGGGUGCAUUUUGCUUCUCUUGUGAAAGAAUGCUUGAAAAAGCUGCUUUUUAUUUCGUUGUCUUAUUGCUUGUUUGAUUAUAUAUUUAUUGCUUUUGCUUUAUCUAUGAGCCUGCUUGGGUAUAUUGCUUGCAGAAAGGCUGGACAGAGAAAAAAUGUAUAAUAAAACAAUACACACACUUCUAAGAGUGCAGUGCUAUACAGAAGUAAGUCCCAUUAAGUUAAAUGAGGCUCACUCCUGGGUAAUACAGGUCUAUAACUGCAGCCUACAGGACCAGUGGAGAUUUCCAGAUCUGUCUUGACAUAAAACUUCAUGUUUAUUAAAGAGCUGUGGCUGUUGCCUUCUUACCCCUGAACCCAAAGCAGUUCUGGGAAAUCCUGGUAAUCAAGACCGAGUUGUUUCUCUUGUGGAUGGACCUGACUCAAAAUUUCUGCUCAAUACCAGAAAUGCUGAGUGCUCUUGUACAAGUCAGUUGCUUGGUUCAACACAAGCCAUGGUUUAUUAAACUAUGGUCUAUUAAACCAGGGUUUAGGGUUAUGUGUGAACUCUGCCCAGCAGCUAUGGCUUGUUUACUGCCAACCAACCACAAUCUGAAGCCAUGGUUUACUGUUGCUUAUAAACCUUGGUUUGUUUUAACUAUGGCUUGGGGUUAAGUGUGAACCUAGCAACCCUCCUCAACCAAGGUUUGUUUUGGCCAACCAACCAGAUGCUCAACAAGCUUCAGAAGCAUGAGGCAAGAGCAGCUGGCAAACAAACCAAACUUUGGAGAAACAAGCCACAGUUUCUUUGAUAAUUUGAGGGAUGACUUGUGGUUAACUUGUGGUUUGUUAAAGAAACCAUGGCUUAAAUAAACCACAGCUUAGCACUAUGUGUGAACCAGGCCACCAGCUGUCAGCCUCAGUUUCCCAUCUAUACCACGGAAAUUACUGUAACAAAGCCAGGUGAGGACAAGGAGAGCAAAAUGGUGAAGAAUAUAACAUGCUAUAUGAAUUGCAAAUGAAAGUUGUGCAUGGGAGUAUUGUUAUCGCAUGUCCUAAGAGUUUUGUACACAUUGCCAAAGGCAAACAAACAACAAAAGUAAUUGAUAAAGGCCAUUUAGGAUUUGUCCCAGCCCAAAUCCACUGCUUAAUUUUGCAUAUCUUAAUGCUGUGCUCUGUCGUCUCCAGGAGAUUACUUCCCCUUGCCUAACACUUUAAUUCUUUUUUACUUUUGCAGUACUGACUUGAUGUGUAACGUGGUCUCCUGUUAUAUGUUAUAUUAUAUUUAUAGUG